RNAcentral lists this ribosomal RNA (83 nucleotides) under Methylobacterium sp. WL18. The record is from RNAcentral. Lineage: Bacteria; Pseudomonadati; Pseudomonadota; Alphaproteobacteria; Hyphomicrobiales; Methylobacteriaceae.
UCUGGUGGCUUGAGCGGCGUGCCCAGAACCCGAUCCCAUCUCGAACUCGGCCGUUAAACACGCCAGCGCCCAUGGUACUGUGU